Molecule: transfer RNA, 92 nt
Rfam family: tRNA
About the family: Transfer RNA (tRNA) molecules are approximately 80 nucleotides in length.
GCCCGCCUAGCUCAAUCGGCCAGAGCGUCAGACUUUUACGCAUGCAUCAGCGUGUAAUCUGAAGGCUGCGAGUUCGACCCUCGCGGUGGGCU